Molecule: long non-coding RNA, 474 nt
Organism: Perognathus longimembris pacificus (Pacific pocket mouse)
Lineage: Eukaryota; Metazoa; Chordata; Mammalia; Rodentia; Heteromyidae
Exons: 4
Source: RefSeq, a predicted model, not a curated record
UUUAGCCAAAAACACUAUCAAGUUUAAAAUAAGCCUGUUCGCCAGAGAACUACUAGCCACAGCUUAAAACUCAAAGGACUUGGUGGUGCUUUAUAUCCAUCUAGAGAAGCUUUUUCUGUAAUCAAUAAACCCUGAUAUACCUCACCAUUUCUUGCUAAUUCAGUCUAUAUACCACCAUCUUCAGCAAACCCUAAAAAGGCACACAAGUAAGCCCAAUUAUAUUAUAUAAAAAAGUUAGGUCGAGGUGUAACUCAUGAAAUGGGCUACAUUUUCUGGUCCAGAACAUACGAAACCUUGUCUGAAAUGGACAAGAUAAAGGAGGAUUUAGCGGUAAACUAAAAAUAGAGUGUUUAGUUGAAUAGAGCAGUGAAGCACACACACACCGCCCGUCUCCCUCCUCAAUAUUCGAUAAAGAUAAGUAUAUAACUUUUAACUACAAGAAUUAAGAGGAGAUGAGUUGUAAAAAGGUAAGUG